Long non-coding RNA from Gorilla gorilla gorilla (western lowland gorilla), 1149 nucleotides. RefSeq lists it as uncharacterized. The transcript has 2 exons. The record is from RefSeq and is a predicted model, not a curated record. NCBI's taxonomy places the organism in Eukaryota, Metazoa, Chordata, Mammalia, Primates, Hominidae.
UGGCCACCUGUCACUACCCCGCAGGUUUGGCGGCGGCCCUCUGGGGCAGGGACCUUUCUGAAUAUGUCUUAAGGCCCCUACUGGCCUUUUUAGUCAAGCCAGGACUGCAUGCGGCCCACCUGGCUGUGUGGCCUUGGCAACGCACACUCUCCGGGCCUUGGUACCUAAGUCGGAAGUCACUUUCUCCUUCCGCGCUAGAGAGGCCGGCCACCCCUCCUGCUCCAGGUGUGGAAGAGCACCUUACAACAGCUCCCUUAGAAGCCUGCCCAGCUGCCCGAGACCCAAGGCUGCAGAGUACUGGAAGGGCGGGGACACACGGGCCCCACAUGUAUGCUGCCUAGUCCAGGUGGGAGAAAUGAAGCUCAGAGCGUCGGGCUCCAGGACGGCCCGGAAAGCUGAGUCAGGGCCCUGACUCAGGUUGAGGACUGAGGUGAACAAUUCCAUAAAACAUGUGAAAAAAGCAAGGAAGUGUUCAACGCUGAAGGCCCCGGGCCUGGGACAAGGGCAUGAGGGGCGUGGCCCCCCAGCAGGCAGCGGCGGUUCCUAGGUUAGCGCUACGGAGCUACAUUUUAGGUUAAUAGAGCCUGGGCCCAGGGCCGCUGGGGCAGGGCCCUCAGUGACGUUGGCAGUUGUCUGGAACAGCCCUCGGAACCCAAUUCUGUGGAGGGCAGGGCAGGGGUGCCGCUCGCACAGGGGCGGCCAGCAGAGGGACGGGUGUAAACACGCAGACACACUCAAGGCACGGAGUCACUUGGAAGGGGGGCUGGGGGGGGGCGUUGCUGGUCAGGAUCUGACAGUUUUAAAUAGUUUUUCUCUAAAAAGUUUUCUAGAUUUGCAGUUUGUUUUUUUUUUUUCCUUUACUUUCAUUUUUUUAAAAAGCUAUGAGAAUGAGCCGGUGGACUGUGGUUUCCAGGAAUGGUGGCGUCUCACGCUUCUUGUGCUUUUUCCUUUGGGGCCUCCGAGCGGCUGGGGGUGGGGGACUGGGCAGGAGGCUCCCUGUAAACAUUUGGACUUGGGCUGGGGCAGGGGCUGGUGUUGGGCAAAGCUGGGGGUCCAGGCUGGAGAAGCAGGGGCCCCUCCAGAUGCAGCCUUGGGAGACUCAGCAUGUGCCCCCCUCCCCUCAUCACAGAACAAGACAAUGGUUAAAAA